RNAcentral lists this transfer RNA (72 nucleotides) under Candidatus Nomurabacteria bacterium RIFCSPLOWO2_01_FULL_46_18. RNAcentral describes it as "tRNA-Arg". It matches the Rfam family "tRNA". Rfam says of the family: Transfer RNA (tRNA) molecules are approximately 80 nucleotides in length. Their secondary structure includes four short double-helical elements and three loops (D, anti-codon, and T loops). Lineage: Bacteria; Candidatus Nomuraibacteriota. The record is from RNAcentral.
GCACCCGUGGUGAAACGGAUAUCACAACAGUCUUCGGAACUGUCGUUGCAAGUUCGAUUCUUGCCGGGUGCA